Molecule: ribosomal RNA, 205 nt
Filed under: uncultured bacterium
Lineage: Bacteria
Description: partial 16S ribosomal RNA
Rfam family: Bacterial small subunit ribosomal RNA
Source: RNAcentral
CAUGUAGGCGGCUUAAUAAGUCGAGCGUGAAAAUGCGGGGCUCAACCCCGUAUGGCGCUGGAAACUGUUAGGCUUGAGUGCAGGAGAGGAAAGGGGAAUUCCCAGUGUAGCGGUGAAAUGCGUAGAUAUUGGGAGGAACACCAGUGGCGAAGGCGCCUUUCUGGACUGUGUCUGACGCUGAGAUGCGAAAGUCAGGGUAGCAACG